UGAUACUUAUAGCGUAGUGGACCCACGCCGAUCCAUCCCGAACUCGGCUGUUAAACGCUACAGCGGCGAUGAUACUAAAGGGGAAGCCCUUUGGAAAAGUAGCUCAGUGUCAGGACU
This 117-nucleotide ribosomal RNA is filed under the name Ahnfeltia plicata. The record is from RNAcentral. Lineage: Eukaryota; Rhodophyta; Florideophyceae; Ahnfeltiales; Ahnfeltiaceae.